UGGAUCAAAACUGCAGCAUCAGCUCUUCCUGGAAAUGUGGGCCUGCUGGUGUUUCUCAUGAAAUUUGAACUUUUAAACAUUCACAAUUACAUGAGCCAACUGAUUUGAAGAACUCUCUCCUAUAGAUCUGUAGUACAUGAAAACUCUGGUACAGAGGGCAAUUGGCAAAACAUGUUUCCUACUAAUGGGUUAAUGGAUUUACCUAUUUGGAAGUAACAACACUAUCAAGACUCAUAUAAAGAGGUAGUCUCUAAUCAGGCAAGAAAGGAAGAUUCAUCUUUCACUUCAAUUAAUCAGAGAAGUAAGGCAUUAAUUAUUUAUGUAGGUAUUUUAUAUUAC
This 339-nucleotide long non-coding RNA is filed under the name Fukomys damarensis (Damara mole-rat). Its description in RNAcentral is "lncRNA (ENSFDAG00000028433.1)". Lineage: Eukaryota; Metazoa; Chordata; Mammalia; Rodentia; Bathyergidae. The record is from RNAcentral.